This 2900-nucleotide ribosomal RNA is filed under the name Klebsiella pneumoniae. RNAcentral describes it as "bacterial LSU rRNA". It matches the Rfam family "Bacterial large subunit ribosomal RNA". Lineage: Bacteria; Pseudomonadati; Pseudomonadota; Gammaproteobacteria; Enterobacterales; Enterobacteriaceae. The record is from RNAcentral.
UUAAGCGACUAAGCGUACACGGUGGAUGCCCUGGCAGUCAGAGGCGAUGAAGGACGUGCUAAUCUGCGAAAAGCGUCGGUAAGGUGAUAUGAACCGUUAUAACCGGCGAUGUCCGAAUGGGGAAACCCAGUGUGAUUCGUCACACUAUCGUUAACUGAAUACAUAGGUUAACGAGGCGAACCGGGGGAACUGAAACAUCUAAGUACCCCGAGGAAAAGAAAUCAACCGAGAUUCCCCCAGUAGCGGCGAGCGAACGGGGAGCAGCCCAGAGUCUGAAUCAGCUUGUGUGUUAGUGGAACGGUCUGGAAAGUCCGACGGUACAGGGUGAUAGUCCCGUACACCAAAAUGCACAGGCUGUGAACUCGAAGAGUAGGGCGGGACACGUGGUAUCCUGUCUGAAUAUGGGGGGACCAUCCUCCAAGGCUAAAUACUCCUGACUGACCGAUAGUGAACCAGUACCGUGAGGGAAAGGCGAAAAGAACCCCGGCGAGGGGAGUGAAAAAGAACCUGAAACCGUGUACGUACAAGCAGUGGGAGCACCUUCGGGUGUGACUGCGUACCUUUUGUAUAAUGGGUCAGCGACUUAUAUUCUGUAGCAAGGUUAACCGUAUAGGGGAGCCGCAGGGAAACCGAGUCUUAACUGGGCGUUAAGUUGCAGGGUAUAGACCCGAAACCCGGUGAUCUAGCCAUGGGCAGGUUGAAGGUUGGGUAACACUAACUGGAGGACCGAACCGACUAAUGUUGAAAAAUUAGCGGAUGACUUGUGGCUGGGGGUGAAAGGCCAAUCAAACCGGGAGAUAGCUGGUUCUCCCCGAAAGCUAUUUAGGUAGCGCCUCGUGAACUCAUCUUCGGGGGUAGAGCACUGUUUCGGCUAGGGGGUCAUCCCGACUUACCAACCCGAUGCAAACUACGAAUACCGAAGAAUGUUAUCACGGGAGACACACGGCGGGUGCUAACGUCCGUCGUGAAGAGGGAAACAACCCAGACCGCCAGCUAAGGUCCCAAAGUCAUGGUUAAGUGGGAAACGAUGUGGGAAGGCACAGACAGCCAGGAUGUUGGCUUAGAAGCAGCCAUCAUUUAAAGAAAGCGUAAUAGCUCACUGGUCGAGUCGGCCUGCGCGGAAGAUGUAACGGGGCUAAACCAUGCACCGAAGCUGCGGCAGCGACACUAUGUGUUGUUGGGUAGGGGAGCGUUCUGUAAGCCUGCGAAGGUGACCUGUGAGGGUUGCUGGAGGUAUCAGAAGUGCGAAUGCUGACAUAAGUAACGAUAAAGCGGGUGAAAAGCCCGCUCGCCGGAAGACCAAGGGUUCCUGUCCAACGUUAAUCGGGGCAGGGUGAGUCGACCCCUAAGGCGAGGCCGAAAGGCGUAGUCGAUGGGAAACAGGUUAAUAUUCCUGUACUUGGUGUUACUGCGAAGGGGGGACGGAGAAGGCUAUGUUAGCCGGGCGACGGUUGUCCCGGUUUAAGCAUGUAGGCUGGUUAUCCAGGCAAAUCCGGAUAAUCAAGGCUGAGGUGUGAUGACGAGGCACUACGGUGCUGAAGUAACAAAUGCCCUGCUUCCAGGAAAAGCCUCUAAGCAUCAGGUAACAUCAAAUCGUACCCCAAACCGACACAGGUGGUCAGGUAGAGAAUACCAAGGCGCUUGAGAGAACUCGGGUGAAGGAACUAGGCAAAAUGGUGCCGUAACUUCGGGAGAAGGCACGCUGGUGUGUAGGUGAAGCCCCUGCGGGUGGAGCUGAGACCAGUCGAAGAUACCAGCUGGCUGCAACUGUUUAUUAAAAACACAGCACUGUGCAAACACGAAAGUGGACGUAUACGGUGUGACGCCUGCCCGGUGCCGGAAGGUUAAUUGAUGGGGUUAUCCGUAAGGAGAAGCUCUUGAUCGAAGCCCCGGUAAACGGCGGCCGUAACUAUAACGGUCCUAAGGUAGCGAAAUUCCUUGUCGGGUAAGUUCCGACCUGCACGAAUGGCGUAAUGAUGGCCAGGCUGUCUCCACCCGAGACUCAGUGAAAUUGAACUCGCUGUGAAGAUGCAGUGUACCCGCGGCAAGACGGAAAGACCCCGUGAACCUUUACUAUAGCUUGACACUGAACAUUGAGCCUUGAUGUGUAGGAUAGGUGGGAGGCUUUGAAGCGUGGACGCCAGUCUGCGUGGAGCCAACCUUGAAAUACCACCCUUUAAUGUUUGAUGUUCUAACGUUGGCCCCUGACCGGGGUUGCGGACAGUGUCUGGUGGGUAGUUUGACUGGGGCGGUCUCCUCCCAAAGCGUAACGGAGGAGCACGAAGGUUAGCUAAUCCUGGUCGGACAUCAGGAGGUUAGUGCAAUGGCAUAAGCUAGCUUGACUGCGAGCGUGACGGCGCGAGCAGGUGCGAAAGCAGGUCAUAGUGAUCCGGUGGUUCUGAAUGGAAGGGCCAUCGCUCAACGGAUAAAAGGUACUCCGGGGAUAACAGGCUGAUACCGCCCAAGAGUUCAUAUCGACGGCGGUGUUUGGCACCUCGAUGUCGGCUCAUCACAUCCUGGGGCUGAAGUAGGUCCCAAGGGUAUGGCUGUUCGCCAUUUAAAGUGGUACGCGAGCUGGGUUUAGAACGUCGUGAGACAGUUCGGUCCCUAUCUGCCGUGGGCGCUGGAGAAUUGAGGGGGGCUGCUCCUAGUACGAGAGGACCGGAGUGGACGCAUCACUGGUGUUCGGGUUGUCAUGCCAAUGGCACUGCCCGGUAGCUAAAUGCGGAAGAGAUAAGUGCUGAAAGCAUCUAAGCACGAAACUUGCCCCGAGAUGAGUUCUCCCUGAGACUUUAAGUCUCCUGAAGGAACGUUAAAGACGAUGACGUUGAUAGGCCGGGUGUGUAAGCGCAGCGAUGCGUUGAGCUAACCGGUACUAAUGAACCGUGAGGCUUAACCUU